RNA transcript from Populus trichocarpa (black cottonwood), 2186 nucleotides. RefSeq lists it as uncharacterized. The record is from RefSeq and is a predicted model, not a curated record. The transcript has 4 exons. NCBI's taxonomy places the organism in Eukaryota, Viridiplantae, Streptophyta, Magnoliopsida, Malpighiales, Salicaceae.
UUGGGUAGAAGGAACGCCAUUGAUGAAAAUGAAAUCAAUGGAAGCCAAGCCCCUCCUAUUCCUCUUCCUCUCCAAUCCAUCAAAAUCCAUUACCAUCUCUCCUUUCUCGCACCAGUUGUUUGCAUUGUUUUCUUCUUCAAUUGAUAUACCAAAACUCUCCACCAAUUCGGAAGUAGUAACAACAUUGACACAAGAAGAAGUAACCAAAAUCAACCUUCUAAUCCCACGUUUAUGUCUAUUAAACCACUUAACCACCGCAAUCCAAUUAAUCACAACCUCUCUCCUCGCUAACCCACCUCCAAAGUCCCUUUCUUUUUCCAUUCUCACUCACUCUCUCACUUCCCAACCAGACAUGACCAAACCCAUGUCACUUCUCACCAUUCUUAGGCACACCCCACAAGCACAUUCACAUCUUUCACCUAUGAACACCAUGCUUAUCACUUCAUAUAUAAAAAAGAAGAGACCCAAAGAGGCCUUGAAAGUGUACAAUUGGAUGCUUAGGCCUGGCUCUCCAUGUAAAGUUGAAAAGAUUGUAUUUUGUGUUUUGGUUAAUGGGUUGUGUGAGAUUGGUUGGGUUCUUGAGGGUUUGAAGGUUUUGAAAGACAUGGUCAGUGUGGGGUUUUUGCCUAUUGGUGGGUUAAAGGAAAGGGUCUAUAGGAGUUUGUUGAGCGAGGCUAGGGUGAAGGAGGCAGUGGAGUUAGAUAAGGCUUUAUGUGAUUGUUUUGAGGAUGUUAGUGGUGAGGGUGGUAAGAAAGUUAUUGACUUGUUGGAUUCUUUAAUUAGGAACUGGUCUGAGUAAGAAGCAGAGUAGCUUCCUAUAUCAAAAGGGUAAAAUUUCCUUUGAUACAUGUGGAUAGGUGGUCAUGCUGCAUCUUGAGGUUUUACCUUAUAGAUGACGCAAUGAGUUUCUGAGACCACUCUCUAUCUCCGUCAAAUCUUUUUUGAGCAGGCUGUGCUUUGCCAUUCAGGAAUAUCAAGGCACCGAUUCUCUCUCUGUCAGUUUCUUUCUUAAGUUUUUGAUCCUUGUGAUGUUUGUUCCAACAAUACUGUGGAGCUAUCAUAUAGGAUUGAAGGAAGCAAACAUAUUGCCAUUUUAUUGGGAAUAGGAGAUGAUAGGAUGGUUAUUGAUGUGAUAUCAAUGUUUUAAGAUUAGGGAAAGCUCACAUACCAUUCUGACUCGAGUACAGAGUAUCUUCUUUUUCGGGGGUCUAGGACUUGUGUAUCAUCUGGAAGACUUUAAUCUAAUCCGUGCUACUUUCCUUGUAAACUUGCAGAUUCAAUUAUUCCUAUUUUACCCACUUUAGUUCCUCUUCUACAAUAGUUAUAUGUGGAGUUAGCAACAUUUUUGUGAAGGAUUUCUCCUUAAGUGCACAAAUGCUGCAAAAGAGAGAUCCUUGCCUAGCUGAUAAUUGUGUUAUGUUUUCCAGUCAAAUAUCCUCAGCAUAUCACCAUAGAAGACUUCAGGAGCUGUAUUUUUUUCCUUCUCUAUAUUCUUUUCACCAUAUUCCAAGGAAGAAUAACACGCCGAAGCGUCUGUUAGUUCUGUCUGAUCACUCUGGCAGAUGAGAAAUGGCCCAAAUGAUUUGUCAGCCCGGGGCAAGUUUGUAUCUGAUUGAAAGGCCCUGUAUUCCUAUUUUCUCACUGGCCUGAUCAAUUAGUUUGUUUAAACAACUAUUUCUUUUACAUGUUUAUUAUUAUUUAUUACAUUUUGGAAUGAUAUGUGUGUACUACUUACUAUCUGGGAGUAAAAGCGGUGCACAAUAUUUGCUGUCCUUCCGUGUCUCGUACACAACAGUAGCACUCUAUUUCGUGAGAAUGUUUGUGUUUGUGCUCAGAUUUGAACUAACAAUUGGUUGAGCUUCCAUUUCCUAAAUUUGCAGGAGCUAUUACUAAGGCAAGCAUUUGGUAGGAUCAUUCAAUACCUGUUCGAUAUCGUUUUCUUACAUUCAUAUUGCAGGAUUGGAUAAGUAAAUAAACAACGUUCGUUUCUGAAUUACAAAAUGAGACAAUUUUUGGAACUUCAUAAAUGCUUUUUAGAAUAUCAACUCAUCCAACUGCAUUCACUUGCCGAUGAACGAAAACUGAACACAAAUUUGACCGAGGGAUCACAGGAAAGACCAUGAAGUUGUAAAAAGAUGAAUGAUGAUUUCACAUGAGUUGAAAAAAUCAAGAAUGAUGCAUGACAU